AUAGAUACAUGUAUAGUCAUGUCAUAGGGGGAAAAAAAGAAGAAUCAUCAAAUGCUAUUUAAACAAAUACACUGGAAACAACAAAAGAGUGAACUUGAAGUUAAACAUUACAGCUUUGGGAAUUUACUGUAUGUAUUGUGGUUUACGUCUGUAGAAGAAUUAUCAUUUAAAGAUGGCACCGUAUGGUAAGGGGUUGAAGAAUACCUUCGGCUACCUUUCCACUUAGGAGGUAAGAGGGGUCUUGCGGAACAUGACCCAAG
This is a non-coding RNA of Pelobates cultripes (western spadefoot toad), 260 nucleotides long. Lineage: Eukaryota; Metazoa; Chordata; Amphibia; Anura; Pelobatidae. The record is from the annotation of a GenBank genome assembly.